RNAcentral lists this ribosomal RNA (234 nucleotides) under uncultured bacterium. RNAcentral describes it as "partial 16S ribosomal RNA". It matches the Rfam family "Bacterial small subunit ribosomal RNA", at positions 120 to 354 of the family's 1533-position model. The record is from RNAcentral.
AGCAAUCUGCCUUUGGAUGGGGGAUAACAGCCGGAAACGACUGCUAAUACCGCAUGAUGCAGCGGGGUCGCAUGAUUUUGCUGCCAAAGAUUUAUCGUCCAAAGAUGAGCUCGCGUCUGAUUAGCCAGUUGGCGGGGUAACGGCCCACCAAAGCGACGAUCAGUAGCCGGACUGAGAGGUUGAACGGCCACAUUGGGACUGAGACACGGCCCAGACUCCUACGGGAGGCAGCAG